This 387-nucleotide ribosomal RNA is filed under the name Draconarius paralateralis. Its description in RNAcentral is "partial 16S ribosomal RNA". The record is from RNAcentral. Lineage: Eukaryota; Metazoa; Arthropoda; Arachnida; Araneae; Agelenidae.
CUCAAUGAAAUUAAAUAGCCGCAAUAUUUCUGUGCUAAGGUAGCAUAAUCAUUUGUCUUAUAAUUAAAGACUAGAACGAAAGAUUUAACAUUUUUAUUUCUCUCUAAUAUUUAAAUCUUUAAAUUAUUCUAAAUAUAAAAAAAUAUUUAUAUCUUAAAAAGACGACAAGACCCUAUUGAACUUUACUAAAGUUUAACUGGGGUAGUUAAUUAAAUAUAAUUUUAAUAUACAAUCAAAUAAUAACCUAAUAUAAUUAAAACAUCAAGUUACCAUAGGGAUAACAGCGCAAUAAUUUUCUUAAGUUCUUAUUAAAAAAAUUGAUUACGACCUCGAUGUUGAAUUAAUAUUCUAUUGAGUGCAAUAACCCAAUAAGAAAGUCUGUACGAC